Molecule: ribosomal RNA, 468 nt
Filed under: uncultured bacterium
Lineage: Bacteria
Description: partial 16S ribosomal RNA
Rfam family: Bacterial small subunit ribosomal RNA
Source: RNAcentral
GACGAACGCUGGCGGCGUGCUUAACACAUGCAAGUCGAACGGAAAGGCCCUGCUUUUGUGGGGUGCUCGAGUGGCGAACGGGUGAGUAACACGUGAGUAACCUGCCCUUGACUUUGGGAUAACUUCAGGAAACUGGGGCUAAUACCGGAUAGGAGCUCCUGCUGCAUGGUGGGGGUUGGAAAGUUUCGGCGGUUGGGGAUGGACUCGCGGCUUAUCAGCUUGUUGGUGGGGUAGUGGAUUACCAAGGCUUUGACGGGUAGCCGGCCUGAGAGGGUGACCGGCCACAUUGGGACUGGGAUACGGCCCGGACUCCAACGUGGGGCAGGAGUGAGGGAUAUAGCACAAUGGGCGGAGGCCUGAUGCAACAACGCCGCGUGCGGGAUGACGGCCUUCGGGUUGGAAACCGCUUUCGCCUGUGACGAAGCGUGAGUGACGGUAAUGGGUAAAGAAGCACCGGCUAACUACGUG